Molecule: small nucleolar RNA, 208 nt
Filed under: Brettanomyces bruxellensis AWRI1499
Lineage: Eukaryota; Fungi; Ascomycota; Pichiomycetes; Pichiales; Pichiaceae
Description: Small nucleolar RNA snR43
Rfam family: Small nucleolar RNA snR43
Source: Rfam by way of RNAcentral
AUCUCCCGAUUCUGCCCCACGCUCUGUUCUCUUCCAUAGAGUAAUGGGUUCUGUACGUUGGAGAAGAUCGAGUACCGCUGGAAUGAUGCAAACCUCAUAAAUUAUCAUUCAACAGUGUCAUUUCCAGCGGGCACUUCCAUUUCCAUUGGUGCUUUUUGUCUACUACCUUCUUACUUGGUAGUUACUACAAAUACCAGGGAAUACAUUU